Molecule: ribosomal RNA, 450 nt
Filed under: uncultured prokaryote
Description: bacterial SSU rRNA
Rfam family: Bacterial small subunit ribosomal RNA
Source: RNAcentral
UCGGGAAUUUUGGGCAAUGGGCGCAAGCCUGACCCAGCGACGCCGCGUGAGCGAUGAAGGCCUUCGGGUCGUAAAGCUCUGUCGGGAGGGAAGAUGGGCUGCAAGGCGAAUAGUCUUGUGGCUUGACGGUACCUCCAAAGGAAGCGCCGGCUAACUCCGUGCCAGCAGCCGCGGUAAUACGGAGGGCGCAAGCGUUGUUCGGAAUCACUGGGCGUAAAGCGCGUGUAGGCGGUCGGGAAAGUCGGAUGUGAAAUCCCGGGGCUCAACCUCGGAACUGCAUUCGAAACUCCCCGGCUAGAGUCCCGGAGAGGGUGGCGGAAUUCCCGGUGUAGGGGUGAAAUCCGUAGAUAUCGGGAGGAACAUCAGUGGCGAAGGCGGCCACCUGGACGGUGACUGACGCUGAGACGCGAAAGCGUGGGGAGCAAACAGGAUUAGAUACCCCCGUAGUCC